Erigeron canadensis is the source of this 560-nucleotide long non-coding RNA. RefSeq lists it as uncharacterized. The record is from RefSeq and is a predicted model, not a curated record. The transcript has 3 exons. NCBI's taxonomy places the organism in Eukaryota, Viridiplantae, Streptophyta, Magnoliopsida, Asterales, Asteraceae.
AGGCCAACAAAAGCCCCCCUCCCUUUUCUUUUCACCUGGUCGAUCACACACACACUCAAUACCAAAAUCACUCUCAAAUCCUUUCUUCUUAUCUUCUAAAUUAACUUUUGCAAAGAGAAAUCAGGGGAAAGAAGUUAUCAAGUUAUUAUAACAAAAUCAUUUGGCAAGGGAAGUAUUAACAUCUUCAUCUUCUUCAAAUUAUUCAAGAACAUAAAUUGGUUUUGGAUAACGUGGAGAAUUGAUUGUUGAUCUUCUCGAGCUACAGUGUACCUUUUAGCACUUAGAUCGCUAAGGGACCAACAGUAAGUAUUGGAAACAUAUAUGGUAUUUUAGAAGCCAUCUUUUGAACAUUGGACGUACAAUUAGCGUCAGACUUCUGAGGACUAACGUAUUAUUAGUCCUGAUUGUACGAGACUGUCCAAAUGUUGUUAUUGUAUUAAGUGGUCCCAUUUCCAAUUGAGGAUAGAUUGUAUCCGUGUAUUGGGGUCCACAUCUAAACGAUUAUACUUGUAAUAAACUCGUAUUUGGAUUAAUGGAUGAAAUCUCUAUUUACCUUCUCA